GGAACAUCGGGCAGAACACUGAACAAAACAGACAUAAAUUUUGUUCUUGUGAAGAGGACAGUAUCGAGGGAAGAACAACAUUUCACAAAUUAUUACAGAAACACAGACACAAACUACUCAUGUUUAGCAGCUUAAAGUAUUUGUUUAUGAAGCAGAAGAACGUAUGAGCAGAUGAAAAGAAGGGAAUGUGACACUUGUGAGCACAAAGUGACCCUAACGCAGGGAAUUCGUUGCUGCAAAUGAACCUUCAUAAAUCUGAUACAGUAAUGGGGUGACACUUACUUCAGAUACCAAAACAUAAAGAAAACAAAUUAUCUCAAGAUAUGAAGUCAUCUGCCUGGAGACUUCCCCACUACAGCCCAGGCCAUCCCUCCUUAGAAGCUCACUCCACGAUUUAUGACACUUACCCUUCAUAUCAUCUUCAAGCAUCUGUCAGAGGCGUCUGAACCAAGGGCGUCUCCAUCUUGAAUAGGGGCUGGGUCAGAUGAGCUUGGGAGCUGCUGUGCUGCAUUGCCAGGAAAUUAGGCUUUCUUAGUCACAGGAUAUUUGCAGUCACCGGAACAAGUUCAUAUGUUUACAGAACCAACCCGGUGUUACCGUGGGUAGCUAGUCAGACAUGAGCAGGGCACGAGAGCCUCCCCCUCCCCACACCAGGAAUAUCAGGCAACCAUCUGGUGAUGGUCAGGCAGUUGUUUAACUUUCUCUCUAAAGUAAUAAUUGGUCACAGCCGGUGCCAGAGAAAGCCCAUCUCUCAAUAGAUAAAAACACCUGAAACUAUUGAUCGGCUUCCCAAUAACAUCUCAGGAGUUGGGCGAGUGGGCUUAAGCACAUGCACUAAGAGGCAAAAUGGUGGAGUUUAACUGGUGUAGGACCUUCUAGGAACACUCAGCCUGUAGGGGAAGAACGCCUCAAAUGAGAAUGCGUACAACUUCAGUAACCACACUGCCCGGGACUCAGAACCCCUCCCAGGUGCUGGCAGGCCCACGCGCGUGCAGACAGCCCAUGCCGAGGGAAGACUAAGGGGUGAAGGGACUCAUAACCCCUCCCAGGUGCUGGCAGGCCCACGCGCGUGCAGACAGCCCACCCCAAGGGAAGACUAAGGGGAGAUGGGAUGCAACACCCUGGAAGCAUGCCAACAUAUAAACCCCAAGUUCAAACUGUGUACUUGUUUUCCCAAGUCGCCCACGCAGCCCUCUUCCAAGUGCACUUUACUUCCUUUCAUUCCUGCUCUAGUGCUUUUCGAUAAACAUUUACUCCUUCUCUAAAACUUGCCUCUCACUCUGCCUUAUGCCCCUCAGCUGAAUUCUUUCUUCUGAGAAGGCAAGAAGUGAGGUUGCUGCAGACCCAUAUGGAUUUGCUGCCACCAACACCAGGAUUAGCAGACCCAGGAGAUAACAGACCCAGAAAAUGUCCUGAUGUCCCAAUAUCUUAAGAACAAGAACAUUCUUAGUUUGAGAAUAAGUUUUGCCUUAAAGAUAAUAAUAUAGAUUCUUGUGGAAGAGAGUAGUAAUGCAAGGAUUAACAAUCCUUCAUUGCAAGCCCUUGUAGCAGAGCACAUCUCACCCAUGAUUUUUUUGCUUUGAUGUGUUAUGUAUAAAUGAGCAUUGUACCUAAGGUGGAUAUGUUCCUUCUUUUGCUUCUGGGAACACCAUGCUCUGUCUGUGGAGUAAGCUUUCUUUUAUUCCUUUACUUUCUUAAUAAACUUGCUUUCACUUUACUCGGUAGAUU
Chlorocebus sabaeus (green monkey) is the source of this 1728-nucleotide long non-coding RNA. RefSeq lists it as uncharacterized. The record is from RefSeq and is a predicted model, not a curated record. Lineage: Eukaryota; Metazoa; Chordata; Mammalia; Primates; Cercopithecidae.